RNAcentral lists this ribosomal RNA (254 nucleotides) under uncultured bacterium. RNAcentral describes it as "partial 16S ribosomal RNA". It matches the Rfam family "Bacterial small subunit ribosomal RNA", at positions 524 to 776 of the family's 1533-position model. The record is from RNAcentral.
UACGGAGGGUGCGAGCGUUGCUCGGAAUCACUGGGCGUAAAGCGUACGCAGGCGGCUCGUUAAGUCGGGUGUGAAAGCCCGGGGCUCAACCCCGGAAUUGCGCCCGAUACUGGCGAGCUUGAGUACGGGAGAGGGAUAGCGGAAUUCCUGGUGUAGAGGUGAAAUUCGUAGAUAUCAGGAGGAACACCAGUGGCGAAAGCGGCUUCCUGGCCCGAUACUGACGCUCAUGUACGAAAGCGUGGGGAGCAAACAGG